RNAcentral lists this long non-coding RNA (1164 nucleotides) under Chinchilla lanigera (long-tailed chinchilla). Its description in RNAcentral is "lncRNA (ENSCLAG00000024178.1)". Lineage: Eukaryota; Metazoa; Chordata; Mammalia; Rodentia; Chinchillidae. The record is from RNAcentral.
UUUUGAGAUGCAGACAAAGGAAUUGAACUCCCAGAGGGAGAACAGCCAGAUAUAUUGCAGGCUGACCCUCCAGCCCCAGGAGGAGCCUGGGUUGUGUCACCAGUCCAGCCUGAGAAGGCUCACUCGAGAUUUGGGCAGCGUGAGAAAAAGACACAGAGCUGUGGGAAUGUCUGGAAGGCCUUUACUAUCUCAACAGCCUGGGGCAAUGAGGGAUAAAAUCCCACUCCCUCCUACACGGUAUCACACAAAGCAGUGGGCAUUCCAUAAAAUGCACCUAUGGAGAAGAGUAUUAGGAGAAAUAGACAAAGGCUCAAUGGAGAUGGCAAUUGCAACAGCGUGAGCCUUGUGGAAAAGCAACCUUGGCAUCCUGAGAACCGGGGACGGCCUUCACUGUUCCAGCCCCUCGCCUCACCUCUCUCCAAUCUGCGCUGGUCCCCUGAACUUUGUUUACUGUCAGAACAGGCGGCGCAUCUGACACAGGCUGUCCAUGGAAGGUGAGACCUUGCUGAGCCAACCCCCGGUCAUGGCGCAAGCGCAGGGUCUCCUAGCCUCCCCGUUCCAGCCCACCUGCAGCUGCUGGAGACGCACAGGCGAGGGUCAGCUGUUGCUUCCCACCAGAACAAGCAGGGGUCAGAGCUAGCCGUGGCCCGGAUGCCCACACAUCUACAUGGAACAGGGCCCAGUGGGUCCCUGAGAGCAGCAGCCGGAAGCAGACAACCCUGGGGUCAUGCCCCGCCCCAGCACUUGCUAGCUGUGUGGUGCUGACCUGUCUCCGCUGUGGAAGGCCCAGUCUCUCCCACAGUGAAAUUUCUCAUCGUAGGCUUGGUGCAGGGAUUAAAUGUGCAAAUCAAGACGAAUACGUGGUACGGUGCCUGGCAUAUAGUGAGUGCUCAAUAAACGAUAGGUUUGAACUAAUAAUUUUAAUGAUAAUAUAGACUGCAUUCUGGUGGCCAAACUGACACUGUUUAGGGACACUGCUGCCUGUGGUCACUCUUGUUUGUUUCCCGUCUCUGUCUCUUACCUGCUCCCAUUGGGCAGAGCUGAAACCCACACAUAAACACGGCUAUCCAGCUGGGACUUCCGAAUCAUGCUCCUUGCAGCCCACUGGACAAUGCUGGAGCCUUCCUCCCAAGCACUGCCUUUUAUCUCACUGAGAAUGCCCUG